GUAAGUAGCUUCGUGCAGUACCUAGCUAACAACAAUAUGCAAUGGGCAUGGGGAGAUAACCAGUUAUCUAGCUCGCUAUAGCAUGCUAACUGUUGCAUUUUUGUUGACAGAUCCAUCGUUUAUUCUAACCGUCUGUGUUUACCAAUAAUAUACGUGACUAAUGCUGGCAGCUUUAAGCAAUUCAUUUGUUACUUCUCUGGAAUGUCGGCUAGUUAGUGACCGACCGGUAUUAAAAUGGGUGCCAUACUGUAGGUAGUUGGUUGGUUAGCUAAUAUCAUGCUGGCUAACAACUUGUGUAUGCUGGCCAAGUGUGGCAUUGGUGUUGUCAGUUCCUUUGACUGACUGAGUUAUGACAAGUGGUGAUUCUCACAGUGAAGCGAGCCACAGGCACCUUCUCACUGAUAGGAUGCUUUUUCAUGCUGUUUGUAAUCUGGCUUCUCCGCCGGUAUCACUCCUUGGCCCAGAAGAUGAUUUGCAGUCUGACAGUUGCGGCCUUCUUUGACAGUGUAGCGUAUGUCAUCGGUGAUACCCAUCCAGAGGGGAGUCUGUGUAACUUCCAGGCCUGGUGGCUCACUUAUUUUGACUGGAGUGCCUUGGCCUGGGUGUCCUGAAUUAUUCUGAACC
Long non-coding RNA from Oncorhynchus tshawytscha (Chinook salmon), 624 nucleotides. Lineage: Eukaryota; Metazoa; Chordata; Actinopteri; Salmoniformes; Salmonidae. The record is from Ensembl.